UACGUAGGUCCCGAGCGUUGUCCGGAUUUAUUGGGCGUAAAGCGAGCGCAGGCGGUUUGAUAAGUCUGAAGUUAAAGGCUGUGGCUCAACCAUAGUUCGCUUUGGAAACUGUCAAACUUGAGUGCAGAAGGGGAGAGUGGAAUUCCAUGUGUAGCGGUGAAAUGCGUAGAGAUCAGGAGGAACACCGGUGGCGAAAGCGGCUCUCUGGACUGUAACUGACACUGAGGCUCGAAAGCGUGGGUAGCAAACAGG
Molecule: ribosomal RNA, 252 nt
Filed under: uncultured microorganism
Description: partial 16S ribosomal RNA
Rfam family: Bacterial small subunit ribosomal RNA
Source: RNAcentral